GGGGGGGGGGGGUCUCCAUACUCGAAGGAUGGUCUUACUACAGCAGUUUGAAGAGAUGAAAUGUCUGAUUUAAAUUCAAAUUAGUUACCGGUGAAGUGAAAGGGCAAAAGGUCAUGUGGCGAAUUUUCUCACAGUAGGAUAUUUGUCCUUUCUUUAUUGGAGUAGGGUGGGAAAGGUGUAAAAUAAGCAUUAGUAGAUUCUGUUUUAUUAGAAGACACACUUACUUCAAAACUCAACGAUGAAUUGAUAACCUUCACAAAUUCAUAGAACUGUCAAGUGUGUCAUUCCUCCAGUUUCGUUGCAUGUCCAAAAUACAACUUACCAGCUCCUUUUUUAUGCCCCAAAGAAAUGGAAAGAAUGGGAAGAGGGGAAAUCUCCACACUGUAUGUUCUCAAAGCAGUCCGCUGGUAGCUCCAUAUUAACAACAAUCGACAUCCAAAUUGUGAAGAAAAAAAAUCUAAGCAUCCGACUCAUUAUCUAAACACUACCAAUGGAGGCUGGAGUAGCUCAUAACCUAGGAAAACCUUUUUGAAACCCUUAUACAACCGAUAUGGGACAUGUUCUCUAAAACUCUCCCGUGCAUAACCUGUAGACAUUUUCUUUUCACUUUUUUCUCUCUUCCACUUUUGUUUCUUCUUUCCUUUUCCUUUUUUCCUUAUUUGGAGAAGACUGGAAUGGCUUAAGUCAGCAUGGAGCAGAGAGAAGGCUCAAUAGGCUAGGAGUGUGCCUGCAAAUGGCUCGAUGGACUGAAUAUGUAGAGAGGCACAGGUCCAUAGAAUAGGCAGAGAGAAGACUAGUGAAAACUAAAGUUCACUUCUGAAACCAUAUAAAAGAAUUUGAGCAUCAAAUCCAAAAAAAGUUAGAACUAUGGGUGCAAUAGCCCAUAUAGACUAUAUUUUGAAAUCCUUAGACAACCGAUAUGGACAAGUUAACACUAAUGAUCAAUGAAGUUUUCGCUCAUUUUGAGUUCAGCCUUGUUAAGAAAAACAACUCAUAGAAAUAAAAUUUCACUGGCAAUAACAAGAAUAAAAUGGACCACCAAGAUACGGUAAGCAACGAGAAUAGAAAAAGUAAUACACCAGGAUUUUAACGUGGAAAACCCUCCUCAAUAAGGAAAAAACUCACGGCCCAAGCUCAGGGGCAAAUCUAGAAUACAUUCACGGGUUUGGCAGAACCCAAUAGUUUUAGCACAGGUUGUGUUUGUGUUAAGAAAUUCACUUAAUAAUAUGCAUAUGUAUAAAUAAUUUAUCUUAAAUUCAUUAAGUGAUCUUGUCCUAGAAUCCAUUACUUAUAAGCUUAAAAUCCUAGAUCUGCUUUUGCCUAAGGGGUGCAAAAUAAUAUCGAUAUAGUAAGAAAAUCUACACUUGAUAGUCUCGAGUAAAAUACUCGAAAGACCACUACAUACUCUAACGAAACAACUCUAUUUUGUACACCCCUAAAAAUGAUACCACUCACUCUCUAUUUUAUUAUAUGCGAAUUGCUAUCUUCUCUUAUUUUUGUAUUCUAUUGUGUGUGUUGAAGUGAGAGAAAUGCCUCUAUUUAUAACAACACGAGCUAUGAGCUCCAAGCACAAAAAUACAAAAAGAGAGGAGAAAUUACCAAAAAUUUCUCUUCCACACACUUCAUAUUGUUUUGGCACAUGGCGAUUUAACAAGUAGGGAUAGAUCCCACAAAUCUCUCCCUCCAGAUUUAUUCACCUAAAGGAGGUAAUACCGGACUUAUAAUUUGAGCGCAUGCCGACAAGGUUUUUGCACAACUCAAACUUGUUUCUUGGUACCAUCUUGGUCAACGUACUUAAAGGAUUCUCACAUGAAAAGAUCUUCAAGAAAUGCUCUGCCUUUUGCCGAAUUUAAUGAAAUCUUAAGUAAUGUGUUUAGUCCUUGCAUGUACAUGGAGUUCUUGCUCAAGUCUAUUACACUUAGAGCGUCACUCCUUCUAAUGCAAGUCAUUUCUUGAAGAACCCUUUGAGCCAUAUCAUUUUAGAGUGAGCGACACUUAUGCAAAUUCAACUGCCAUGAUAUAGCUCUUCCUAAGAGAGUAAACAAAUAUCCAUUAGUGGAUUUUCUAUUAUCAGGAUCACCUGUCAUAUCAGUAUUUGUAUACCCCUUCUAAAUUGGAUCAGAUCUUAAAAAACACAAGUAGUUCUGAGGUACCUCUAAAAUGCUGAGUAUCCACUUAACUAUUUCCUAGUGUUCUUUUCUGGGAUUUUAAAGAAAGCUGCUCAUCAACGAUUGCAUGUGCAAUGUCGGAUCUGGUGCUUACUAUUUCAUAUAUCAAACUCCUAACAAUAGAGAAUAAGGAACUUUGGCGUUGCUGUCUUUCUCCUUUGUUGUGGGACAUAUCUUCUUGCUCAACUUCAUAUAACCAACAAAAGGUGUGCUGACUGGCUUAGCACUCUUCAUGUUGAAGCAUUUUAAUACACACUCAAUGUACUUGUCCUGGGACAACCACAACUUUCUACUCGUUCUGUACUUCUAUCUCGACUAAUCUGCAUUCCUAGAAUGUAUUAUGUUGUACUCUAAGUCUUUCAUGUUCAAUGACUUGGAUAAGUCUCCCUUCAACUUGGCUAUUAGAUUUUUAUCAUGUCUUACAAUCAACUUAUUAUCCACAUAUAACAAGAUAAAAUUGUUAUCAAAAUAUCUUUAGAAGUAUAUAUAUUUGACUUUCAUGAAUGAAUCAAAUUUCUUGUACCACUACCCUGGUGCAUGUUUCAACCCAUAGACUCUUCUUCAAUUUGCACAUCAUGUGUUCCACCAUUUUGCUUUAAAUUCUUCCGACUGCUCUAUAUAGAGGGUAUUUGCAUUGGCUUUUAAGCAGGUAAAAUCAGCUUUUAAGUUCUUUUUAACUUUUGCGGUGUUUGGCAAAGUCAAAAAGUACUUAGAAUAAGUUAAAAACUGCUUAAAAUAAGCCAAAAGCAGUAAGUUGGGCAACCCCAACUUAUUACUUUUUGGCUUAAAAGCUAUUUUUGCUGAAAAGCCACUUUUUUUAAGCCAAUCCAAAUGGGCUCAAGAUUUUGACUAGAUGCUAAGCUCAAAAUAGUUCGUAUAGACAGCUUGCUACUUCUACCUUUCUAAACAAAUCGCUAUUGCGAUCUUUCGUGAGUUUAAAGACUACUUUGGACGUUUUUCCUUUGGAAGUUCAACCAACUCGUGCAAUUUCUACAGAGAUUCCAUAAUCUUCUUGCAUAACUUUCAUCCACUAAUGAGAGAGCAUCUCCUCAAGAAUUUCUAGCUUCACAUCAUCACUAACGAGGACACAAUUUAAGAAAGAAUACAUCGACGAUUCUACUAUUUGCCUUUCUGAUCACUUCAAUGGUCGUUGUAUUUCACAAGUAGGGUGAGAUCUUCCUGGAGGGCAGAUUUAUGAAAUCCAUCUCUAGCUUAUUGAAAAGCCAUGUGUCAAAAAACACUUGAUGAAAUUCAUCCUUGGAGGCCAAGAAUGAAAUGUGUGGAGAAUUUUUGGCAACUUCUCCCGUGGUUGGAGCCUAUAGCUCCUAUUGUUAUAAAUAGAAAUAUUUCUCUAAUUUCAACACACAAAAAUAAAAAAAGGAAGCAAAAGCUGAGAGCAAUUCACAUUCACAAACAAUAGAAAAAAGUAAUUUGUGAGAAAAAAAUAUAGUGUGUAAGCGAUAUCAUCGCGAGGUGUGUAGAUCAAAAGAAAGUUGUUUCUUUUGAGUAUAGUGGUCUGUUGAGUAUUUUGCCCGAUACUACCAAGUGUAAACUUCUUUAUUAUACUGAUACGAUUUUGCUCCUCUUAGGAUGUGAGUUUUUACAUUAUUUGGAAGUGUUCUCCAGUCUCCACGAUAAAAUCGGUGUCUUUGUUACUCUCUUUUUUCUUGUCGAUUACUAUGUCUUGGUGCUCUAACUUUUGCUCAUGUUAUUCACCGUAUAUAUUUUUUAUAGGUUAUUUUUCACAACAAGGCUGAUGUUACAAUGAGCAUAAACUUCAUUGGUCAUUAAUGUAAGAGAACUUGUCCGAUGUUGGCAUAUUUGGGUCAAUUAAAAAUGACUUUAAAUUUUCAAUUCUAUGGAGCAAUCGAUGAUGGAUUAAUAACUUCACAAAAUGAUAGUACAUAAUACAAGUAUGUUCUUCCACCAACUUUGUUACAUGUCCUAGAUACAACUUAUCGGCUCCUUUCUAAAACCCAAUGGGCAGAGCUAGAAAUGGGAAGAGGGGUAUCACCAGAUCAUAUGUUCUCUAAUUUGCCCAUAGGUAGCUCCACAUUUACAAGAAUCAACAUUCUAGUUGUGAAAGAAUCCAAGUAUCCAAUCCAAAAUCUAUACAAGUGGAGUAGCCAAGGACCUUAUACACCCGAAACCUUAUACAACUGAUGUGGGAAAGAUCCACUAUACCCUCCUGUACGUGUAACCAGUUCUUGGGUUUGCACGGGACUUAAGACCUUUUUUACUCUUUUUUUAAAAAUUUUUUGUCUCUUUCUUUUCUUGUUUCUUUUCUUUUUAUUUUAUUUUUAUGACUAGACGAAAGUGGAAGUCAAAGUAGAGAGAAAUGGCUCAAUAGACAAAGAAGUGUACCUAUUAAUAGCUCGAUGGACCGAAUUAAGAGAUGUCAAAUCAGUAGAAUAGGUAAAGAAAAGACAAUAGUUUAAACAAGUUUACCAAAGUUUGAUUUUGAUACUAUUUGAAUGAAUCUGAGCAUCCAAACCAACACCUUACGACUAUGAGUGGAGUAGUCCAAAACCUUAUAAGUUUCUUUACAAACCCUUAGGCAACUGAUAGUUUGAUAGGGGACAUGUUCUCUUACGCUAAUGAUCAACGAAGCCUGCUCAUUAUGGCAUCAGUUUAAGGCUCCACUGUUAUGACUUUCUAUCCUCCCUUUAUCACCUAUUAUAUGACUCCGUUCACAUAGGAAAGGACAACUAGGAGCAAUCUUUAACACAAUUUAGCUAAACCUUUUUUCAGAAUAGAGUUUAAAUGUGCAAAACAAUACAAACGUAAUAAGAUAGUAACGUAUUAUAUAAGUUUAGAUACUUGGCGAUUCUUUUUUCCUUUAUUAAAAAAGAUUGGGAUGCACUUAAAACAAGUUGGUAAGAUAAUUGGGGAUGAAGAGUGAGCGCUCCCUUAUAGCAGCCAUUCAAAAUCAUGUUACAAACAUCCACCACCGAUGACAAAAUCUUCAAGAUAAAGUAUGUCGCAAGAAUACUGCAGUUGUCAGAUUUAAUUUCAGCAAUAUUCAUAAGCUACUCCUAAGUCCUUAAAAACUCUCCCCUUUCCGCACCUAUCUCCUCCCCAUCCCCUUUUUCCCAAAUCACAUAUGAAAGGCUCUCUUUAACUUUGGAGGCUCAUGCAUCAGCCUCAUCACAUACAAAAGUAACAAGCACUAAGAGUCUAAGACAGUGACUGGUAGGAGGUGAAUUGAAGGAGGAACGAGGAAGGGCUAUUUCCUUUGUUUGCUUAGUAGUACGAGGAAUGUGAGAUUACUGAAACAGUAUGCUUCCCUUCAACAUAAGUUUUUCCGAUCCCUCCAGAAUUUGAAGGAAAGAAGAAAAUAAAUCUUGUACUUUGUUUUUUAGCUUUAUCAAACAACCAGAGGAAAAGGCUAAAUACUCCUGAAGUGCAAGUAAAUUGGAAGGUUCACCUCCUCCCUCCUUCUUUCCCUUUGUCCCCCUUACAGGAAGAAAACAAAAGGUAAAUACUAACAAAAUAUACACUCAAUCACUUUCUAAUCCAACAUAACCCCUUCCAAACCAGCUCCAAGAAUGCCAGUAAAUAUACGCUCGAUCGCUUUCUCGUCCAACAUAACCCCUUCCAAACUAGCUCUAAGCAUUGGUUCCCAAGGAAAUUAUACAUAUUUAAAGCAAUAGGAGAACAUAAGCAAGUUCCAAACAGAACAUAUGAAAAGAUAUUCAUCAUCCCAUGUCAAAAACGAUAUCUACUUUGGUAAUUUUAUAUGCCAUUUUUUAAAUUCACAACUAAGAUGAGGUACAUAAAGAAGCGCCUAUGGGAUCGUUCCAACUAUUGAUUGUAUAAAGCCACUGAAAUUACAAUAUCCUCCCCAAACUUUGUCAAAGAUUUUUCGAAUUUGUUUUCCGAGCUAUGUUGCUCGGACUCUCCGAAAAUGUCACCGGGUGCAUGUCGGAUCCUCAAGACGUAGCGUAUUUUUGGAGGAUCCGACACGGUUGCGGUAGCACUUUGGAAAGCCCGUGCAACAUAGUUUCCGAGUUUCCUGCAAUUCGGACUUUGUGGAGAAGCUCGGUUUCAGUAGUUAAGACUUGAAUGUUUUCAUAAAACAAAGAUAGGAUUAGCCUUUUGGUAGAUGAACUUUACUUUAACGACAACUCUUUAGCCAAUUUGGAAGAUCAAACACCCAUAAAGAGAAACUUAAGUUUCUUAUUCAGUUUCCUCCAUCUAAAGAGAGAAAAGUUCUAAACCUUCUCAUUCUUCCUCUCGCAUAAGCAAAAACCAUUCUCCAAUUCUUUUUUUUUCCUUUUCUCUUUUUAUUUUGGGUGUCUUAUUGAGUAGCUAAAAUAUAGAAACAGCCAUUAAAUGAUUUCAAACAGGUAAAAGGAUCACAAUCUUCAGAAAAAGUCAAUGAUAGCAAAUAAUGUUUCAACAAACAACACAUAAUCACUUAACAGCCUGAAUUCACCAGAUUUUGAAGACAAAACAGAAAGUAAACUAAACUAAGAAUAAACAAGAAACAAAAAUUGAUAAUGAAGAAUCUGAAUACAUACCCCAUGCAAGCUAGAAAGUGACUGAUCCAAGCACUGAAAGAAGUGUAAAUCAUCAUAUGUCUAAACAUACAAGAAUUAUCCAAUUGUUCUUCAAAUUUCCCAAAUGAACCAGAUCACUAAAACCCAAGCAUAAAAAUCCAAUCUUUUUCUGCACCCAAAAAAAAAAAAACCUUUUUCAGUUUCAAGAAUCAGAUUAAUACAAAAAAAAAAAAAAACUUUUUCCUUACCUUAGAGCAACCAUAAUAUACAUAUGGAUAAUAAAUGCAACACAGUAAUUUAUUAUUAAAGAUAUAAUUGGUAAUGAAACUGAAUUCCAAAAGGGUGUUUCUAUACCUGGAAGAAACUGAGACUGGGGGCGCCCCUCUCUCUCUCUCACACACACAGAGAGUUUCUCUCUCUGCUUUAUCUGUGGGUUUGAUAUUUCAAUAGUGGACUAGUAAGUGAGGUGUCCUAGUUGCUAAUAAUUAGGCGUCUCGUGUCUCUGAGGUUAAAAUUUAAAUUAUCUUUAUAAUGCUGAAUGGUAUAAUUCAGUGAUUAAUAAAAUAAGUGUAGAAUUAUGAGAUUUCAAGUUUUAUUAAAAAUAUAAAAAAAAAUUAAUCUG
RNAcentral lists this long non-coding RNA (7292 nucleotides) under Nicotiana tabacum (common tobacco). RNAcentral describes it as "long non-coding RNA (NTAB_LNC001989)". The record is from RNAcentral. Lineage: Eukaryota; Viridiplantae; Streptophyta; Magnoliopsida; Solanales; Solanaceae.